AACGUAGGUUCCGAGCGUUAUCCGGAUUUACUGGGCGUAAAGCGCGUUCAGGCGGUUUGGCAAGUCGGGCAUGAAAUCUCUCGGCUCAACCGGGAGAGGUUGUCCGAUACUGCUGGACUUGAGGGCAGUAGAGGGUGGUGGAAUUCCGGGUGUAGUGGUGAAAUGCGUAGAUAUCCGGAGGAACACCAGUGGCGAAAGCGGCCAGCUGGGCCGUUGCUGACGCUGAGGCGCGACAGCGUGGGGAGCAAACAGG
RNAcentral lists this ribosomal RNA (253 nucleotides) under uncultured bacterium. RNAcentral's name for it is "partial 16S ribosomal RNA". It matches the Rfam family "Bacterial small subunit ribosomal RNA", at positions 524 to 776 of the family's 1533-position model. The record is from RNAcentral.